This 255-nucleotide ribosomal RNA is filed under the name uncultured bacterium. RNAcentral describes it as "partial 16S ribosomal RNA". It matches the Rfam family "Bacterial small subunit ribosomal RNA", at positions 524 to 776 of the family's 1533-position model. The record is from RNAcentral.
UACGUAGGGUGCGAGCGUUGUCCGGAAUUACUGGGCGUAAAGAGCUCGUAGGUGGUUUGUCGCGUUGUCCGUGAAAACUCACAACUCAAUUGUGGGCGUGCGGGCGAUACGGGCAGACUGGAGUACUGCAGGGGAGACUGGAAUUCCUGGUGUAGCGGUGGAAUGCGCAGAUAUCAGGAGGAACACCGGUGGCGAAGGCGGGUCUCUGGGCAGUAACUGACGCUGAGGAGCGAAAAGCGUGGGGGAGCGAACAGG